This 292-nucleotide ribosomal RNA is filed under the name uncultured bacterium. RNAcentral describes it as "partial 16S ribosomal RNA". It matches the Rfam family "Bacterial small subunit ribosomal RNA", at positions 505 to 796 of the family's 1533-position model. The record is from RNAcentral.
GUUCCAGCCGCCGCGGUAAUACGUAGGGUCCAAGCGUUAUCCGGAAUCACUGGGCGUAAAGCGUGCGUAGGUGGAUGUUUAAGUGUGAUGUUAAAUCGUGUGGCUCAACCAUAUCGAUGUGUCGCAUACUGGGCAUCUAGAGGACAGCAGAGGCAAGUGGAACUGGUAGUGUAGCAGUGAAAUGCGUAGAUAUUACCAAGAACACCAAUGGCGAAGGCAGCUUGCUGGGCUACUCCUGACACUGAGGUACGAAAGCGUGGGGAGCGAACAGGAUUAGAUACCCUUGUAGUCC